AUUGAACGCUGGCGGCAUGCCUUACACAUGCAAGUCGAACGGCAGCACGGGUGCUUGCACCUGGUGGCGAGUGGCGAACGGGUGAGUAAUACAUCGGAACAUGUCCUGUAGUGGGGGAUAGCCCGGCGAAAGCCGGAUUAAUACCGCAUACGAUCUACGGAUGAAAGCGGGGGACCUUCGGCCCCCGCGCUAUAGGGUUGGCCGAUGGCUGAUUAGCUAGUUGGUGGGGUAAAGGCCUACCAAGGCGACGAUCAGUAGCUGGUCUGAGAGGACGAGCAGCCACACUGGAACUGAGACACGGCCCAGACUCCUACGGGAGGCAGCAGUGGGGAAUUUUGGACAAUGGGCGAAAGCCUGAUCCAGCAAUGCCGCGUGUGUGAAGAAGGCCUUCGGGUUGUAAAGCACUUUUGUCCGGAAAGAAAUCCUUGGCUCUAAUACAGUCGGGGGAUGACGGUACCGGAAGAAUAAGCACCGGCUAACUACGUG
RNAcentral lists this ribosomal RNA (486 nucleotides) under uncultured bacterium. Its description in RNAcentral is "partial 16S ribosomal RNA". It matches the Rfam family "Bacterial small subunit ribosomal RNA", at positions 30 to 507 of the family's 1533-position model. The record is from RNAcentral.